This 297-nucleotide ribosomal RNA is filed under the name uncultured Pseudomonas sp. RNAcentral describes it as "partial 16S ribosomal RNA". It matches the Rfam family "Bacterial small subunit ribosomal RNA", at positions 1086 to 1382 of the family's 1533-position model. Lineage: Bacteria; Pseudomonadati; Pseudomonadota; Gammaproteobacteria; Pseudomonadales; Pseudomonadaceae. The record is from RNAcentral.
UCCGUAACGAGCGCAACCCUCGUCCUUAGUUACCAGCACGUUAUGGUGGGCACUCUAAGGAGACUGCCGGUGACAAACCGGAGGAAGGUGGGGAUGACGUCAAGUCAUCAUGGCCCUUACGGCCUGGGCUACACACGUGCUACAAUGGUCGGUACAAAGGGUUGCCAAGCCGCGAGGUGGAGCUAAUCCCAUAAAACCGAUCGUAGUCCGGAUCGCAGUCUGCAACUCGACUGCGUGAAGUCGGAAUCGCUAGUAAUCGUGAAUCAGAAUGUCACGGUGAAUACGUUCCCGGGCCUU